UUAAUACUCCCUCCGUCCGAAAAAACUUGUCCCAUACUUGUUUUUCAAAUGGAUGUAUCUAACACCAAGUGCUAGAUACAUCCAUUUGAGGGACAAGCUUUUUCGGACGGAGGCAAUAUCUU
This is a non-coding RNA of Triticum aestivum (bread wheat), 122 nucleotides long. Lineage: Eukaryota; Viridiplantae; Streptophyta; Magnoliopsida; Poales; Poaceae. The record is from Rfam.